AACGAACGCUGGCGGCAGGCCUAACACAUGCAAGUCGAACGCUGCAGCAAUGCAGAGUGGCAGACGGGUGAGUAACACGUGGGAAUCUUCCUAUCGGUACGGAAUAGCUCAGGGAAACUUGGGGUAAUACCGUAUACGCCCUUACGGGGAAAGAUUUAUUGCCGAUAGAUGAGCCCGCGUCUGAUUAGCUAGUUGGUGAGGUAAUGGCUCACCAAGGCGACGAUCAGUAGCUGGUCUGAGAGGAUGACCAGCCACACUGGGACUGAGACGCGGCCCAGACUCCUACGGGAGGCAGCAGUGGGGAAUAUUGGACAAUGGGCGCAAGCCUGAUCCAGCCAGGCCGCGUGAGUGACGAAGGUCUUCGGAUUGUAAAGCUCUUUUGGCGGGGACGAUAAUGACGGUACCCGCAGAAUAAGCCCCGGCUAACUUCGUGCCAGCCGCCGCAGUAA
This 449-nucleotide ribosomal RNA is filed under the name uncultured bacterium. RNAcentral's name for it is "partial 16S ribosomal RNA". It matches the Rfam family "Bacterial small subunit ribosomal RNA", at positions 29 to 523 of the family's 1533-position model. The record is from RNAcentral.